GAUGCUGCUAAUAUGCUUUGUAGAUUAGGGUAAGAAGAAGUUGCUUGAUGUGAUGAUGGCAUAGAAAUGAUGGGAGGUUGUAAACUGUGAUUGAAUGGUGGCAAAAAAUUACCAGAUGGUGUGUUGGACAAAUUUAAUCUUGCUACAGCUGAAGACAUUGGAGUUACAGAUGUAGUCAGUGGGUUGAAAUUUGCUGCUGAUGCAGCCAUGGUUGAGGUUAGUGCUUGUCCACUCCUUAGAAGUUGAGAUACUUCAGUAAUGGCUUCUGAAGUCAUGUUGUAAGCCCCUGCCAGAGGAGGAUCUUGUUGAGGCUCCAAUACCAUAUUAUAAGUUGUAAUUAUCAAGAAGUUGCAGAAUCAAGAUUGAAAGCAGCGGAGAAGAAGAAGAUUGGAGAAGAAGAAGAGGAGAGAAGAAGGUAUUCUCAUUGAUAGUUCAAACUUCAAAGAACUCAAUGGGUACAACGGCUAUAAGCCUGAAAGUAUAUAUGUAUUUCACAGUGUACUGACAUUUACAAUAAAGAAAUGAUAAUUCAAAUAGAUUGA
Molecule: long non-coding RNA, 542 nt
Organism: Tripterygium wilfordii
Lineage: Eukaryota; Viridiplantae; Streptophyta; Magnoliopsida; Celastrales; Celastraceae
Exons: 2
Source: RefSeq, a predicted model, not a curated record